CUCAGUAAAAUUCAUGCGAACACAGCGAGUUAUAGCUUGAGCUAACGGGCACAAGUGACUUUUACCUCGGCCGAUAGCUCUCGUUUGCUGUUAAUAAAAUAUGCACGGUUGCACCUCGUUUGACCAAAAUCGACACUUAUUUGAGAACACUCCAAGUCGUGUGCACUCUGUGGCCCGCGUUUAAAGCAUGAUCUAAACGAAGAACAAAAUAAAAUUUAAAUAAAAUUUCUUUUUCUUUGUAAAUCUCUAGGCAAAAUAAAUAAAAGUCUUAUCGUUCAAACUUAUGAUCUGUACACGUGUGAACCAAGCAUAAGGUUAUGUGUAAAUAAUUAACAACAAAGCCUACAAAAAUAGCGUUGUAUUCAGAUUUGUGAAUGAAAAGAAUAACAGCAAUAUCAAUGACAGAGAGGAUGAGAAGUGGAAGUACACAUGAAGAAACGAAAAAAAUAAAAAAAUUGAUUGGUGCUUUCAAUAUUACUCGAAAACUGACGAUAACUUGGGCGAUAAACCGGUCAAGAGCAAGCCGAAGUAUUUACAGAUAUUCAUGAGAGACGACAUGUAGAAGGACUAUUAUCUCAAAUUUGGAAGUGAUUCUCAACGAACCCCACUUUACACUGCAAGCUAUCAAUGCAGAGUUGCAACAACGUCUACCAAUAAAGCUAUUUGUCAGUGAAUAUACGUACCGCACCGUAACGUUAGGAGAGGGUGUAAGGGCGUUUUGAUUGACGUCAUCAACAUGUUAACGCCCUUAAUCGUAAUAUUUAGGCACAGGCUGAAUAAAUUUAAUUAAUAAAUGAUUUGCGUAAUAUCACAGAAAAAUGGUCAAUUGUCAUGUGCAUUUUACGUAUAUUAAUGAAGGGAGAGCAUAGCUCUUUUGUUUGGCAACAAUACGUUUUCUUUUUAAAAAUUAGAUUUGAUAGAUAUCUGGUAUUUUGUUCAAGUACGAACAAUAAAUUAAUCAUGUGGAACAAAUAUGUAUAACGACAUGCUAGUCACUUGAACUUUGCCACAUAUAAACCACGAGGCGUCAUGGAAAGUAGAUAUCUUUCACAUGAGAUGGAACAAGACUACACACAUAGGUGACAGAUGUAUUUGAACGUGUUGAAGAAAGACCGCCAACAUCAGUGAAGGCAGCAGAACAAGAAUUGGAAAGUAUGAGGUAUGACUUUGAACAAACGUUUUGAAAACAUGGAAAAAUACAGCUCAAAAUACGUUCAUAUGACUGAAGGAGAAGAUUGAUUGUAGCCGAUAAUUCGGGCAUAAUCCGAUCAACAGCAAGAGACGGCUAGAAACUAAAAAUAUGGUAGAUGCCACAUGGAUGAAGUUGUUAAAGUCCCUUUACCACCUCUGUCAUUCAC
This is a long non-coding RNA of Xenia sp. Carnegie-2017, 1358 nucleotides long. RefSeq lists it as uncharacterized. The transcript is spliced from 3 exons. Lineage: Eukaryota; Metazoa; Cnidaria; Anthozoa; Malacalcyonacea; Xeniidae. The record is from RefSeq and is a predicted model, not a curated record.